Mauremys reevesii (Reeves's turtle) is the source of this 329-nucleotide long non-coding RNA. RefSeq lists it as uncharacterized. The record is from RefSeq and is a predicted model, not a curated record. Lineage: Eukaryota; Metazoa; Chordata; Testudines; Geoemydidae. The transcript is spliced from 3 exons.
ACCAGAUAAACCAGGACUUGCAGCAAGCCAACGAUGCUCUACGAGCAGAACUCAACAAAGAAAUGGAGGAAAAAAACCUUCUUCGCUGCCAGUCUGAUCAAAAAUCUCAAGAAAUCCAUCAGCUGCAAGAAGAACUGAAAACAGCUAAACAGUUUCUGAAGGAGACCCAGAAUUAUGCGGAAGAGAUGAAAAAGAAGAGUUUGUCUCAGGAAAUACAAUUAGAAAAGAAAGAAGCUGAGAUUCGGGAUUUAGAGGGGAAAAAUCAAGAUUUGACUGAGGAACUUGAGAAAGUGCAGUCAGAGUUGCAACUUAAACAAGCUGAGAUCGCC